AUUGAACGCUGGCGGCGUGCUUUACACAUGCAAGUCGCGGGACCGGCGCACGGGUGAGUAACGCGUAUCCAACCUGCCCUUCACCACGGGAUAACCCGGCGAAAGUCGGACUAAUACCGUAUGGUGAAGGAUGGGGAUGCGUCCGAGUAGCUUGACGGCGGGGUAACGGCCCACCGUGGCUACGCUCGGGAGGGGUUCUGAGAGGAAGGUCCACCACACUGGAACUGGGACACGGGCCAGACUCCUACGGGAGGCAGCAGUGAGGAAUAUUGGUCAAUGGGCGUAAGCCGGAACCAGCCAAGUAGCGUGCAGGACGACGGCCUAUGGGUUGUAAACUGCUUUUAUGCGGGGAUAGGUACCGCAUGAAUAAGGACCGGCUAAUUCCGUGCCAGCAGCCGCGGUAAUUC
This 407-nucleotide ribosomal RNA is filed under the name uncultured bacterium. Its description in RNAcentral is "partial 16S ribosomal RNA". It matches the Rfam family "Bacterial small subunit ribosomal RNA", at positions 30 to 526 of the family's 1533-position model. The record is from RNAcentral.